GAUGAACGCUGGCGGCGUGCCUAAUACAUGCAAGUCGAGCGAACGGACGAGAAGCUUGCUUCUCUGAUGUUAGCGGCGGACGGGUGAGUAACACGUGGAUAACCUACCUAUAAGACUGGGAUAACUUCGGGAAACCGGAGCUAAUACCGGAUGAUAUUUUGAACCGCAUGGUUCAAAAGUGAAAGACGGUCUUGCUGUCACUUAUAGAUGGAUCCGCGCUGCAUUAGCUAGUUGGUAAGGUAACGGCUUACCAAGGCAACGAUGCAUAGCCGACCUGAGAGGUGGAUCGGCCACACUGGAACUGAGACACGGUCCAGACUCCUACGGGAGGCAGCAGUAGGGAAUCUUCCGCAAUGGGCGAAAGCCUGACGGAGCAACGCCGCGUGAGUGAUGAAGGUCUUCGGAUCGUAAAACUCUGUUAUUAGGGAAGAACAUAUGUGUAAGUAACUGUGCACAUCUUGACGGUACCUAAUCAGAAAGCCACGGCUAACUACGUG
RNAcentral lists this ribosomal RNA (497 nucleotides) under uncultured bacterium. Its description in RNAcentral is "partial 16S ribosomal RNA". It matches the Rfam family "Bacterial small subunit ribosomal RNA", at positions 28 to 507 of the family's 1533-position model. The record is from RNAcentral.